RNAcentral lists this ribosomal RNA (1148 nucleotides) under uncultured organism. RNAcentral describes it as "bacterial SSU rRNA". It matches the Rfam family "Bacterial small subunit ribosomal RNA", at positions 202 to 1333 of the family's 1533-position model. The record is from RNAcentral.
AGGGGGCUUCGGCUUCCGGUUGAGGAGGAGUCUAUUUCCUAUUAGCUUGUUGGUGCGGUAACGGCGCACCAAGGCUGUGAUGGGUAGGGGGCCUUAGCGGGUGGCCCUCCACACUGGGACUGAGACACUGCCCAGGUUCCUACGGGAGGCUGCAAUCGAGAAUCCUCCGCAAUGGGCGAAAGCCUGACGGGGUGACGCCGCGUGACCGAUGAAGGCUCUUACGGGUCGUAAAGGUCUUACAGGGAGUAUGAAAUAUACUGGGGCUAAUAUCUCCAGUAUUUGACGUCAAUCUCAAAUGAAGUCACGGCUAAAUUUGUGCCAGCAGCCGCGGUAAGACAAAUGUGGCAAGCGUUGUUCGGAAUCACUGGGCAUAAAGGGCACGUAGGCGGCGUAGUAAGUUAACUGUGAAAUCCCCCGGCUCAACCGGGGAACUGCAGUUAAUACUGCUGUGCUAGAGUGCAGAAGAGGAGAGUGGAAUUCUAGGUGUAGCGGUGGAAUGCGAAGAUAUCUAGGAGAAGGCCGGUGGCGAAAGCGACUCUCUGGUCUGUUACUGACGCUGAGGUGCGAGAGCGCAGGUAGCGAACGGGAUUAGAUACCCCGGUAGUCUGUGCCGUAAACGAUGGGCACUAGAUGGUGGAGGCGCCGAUAGCUUUCUCCGUCGCAGCUAAUACGUUAAGUGCCCCGCCUGGGGAGUAUGGCCGCAAGGUUAAAACUCAAAGGAAUUGACGGGGGCCCACACAAGCGGUGGAGGAUGUGGCUUAAUUCGGGGAUACCCGUAAAACCUUACCGAGGCUUGACAUGCAGGUGGUAGUGAAGUGAAAGCGGAACGACCCGAAUAGGGAGCCUGCACAGGUGCUGUAUGGCUGUCGACAGCUCGUGUCGUGAGAUGUUAGGUUAAGUCCUGUAACGAGCGAAACCCUUGUGCUUAAUUGCCAGCGCGUUAUGGCGGGGACCUUAAGCAGACUGCCCCGGCCAACGGGGAGGAAGGUGGGGAUGACGUCAAGUCAGCAUGGCCUUUAUGCCUCGGGCUGCACACGUCCUACAAUGGGCUGUACAAUGGGGACCCAAACCGCAAGGUGGAGGAAAUCCUAUAAAGCAGUCCUCAGUUCGGAUUGCAGGCUGAAAUUCGCCUGCAUGAAGAUGGAAUC